GAUGAAGAACGCAGCGAAAUGCGAUAAGUAAUGUGAAUUGCAGAAUUCAGUGAAUCAUCGAAUCUUUGAACGCACAUUGCGCCCGCCAGCACUCUGGCGGGCAUGCCUGUUCGAGCGUCAUUUCAACCAUCAAGCCCCCAGGGGCUUGUGCUGAGGCCCUGCGGCUGCCCGCAGGCCCUGAAAACCAGUGGCGGGCUCGCUAGUCACACCGAGCGCAGUAGCACAUCUCGCUCAGGGCGUGCGGCGGGCUCCUGCCGUGAAACCCCCCACUGUAACCCCAAAGGUUGACCUCGGAUCAGGUAGGAAUACCCGCUGAACUUAAGCAUAUCAAUAAGCGGAGGA
RNAcentral lists this unclassified non-coding RNA (342 nucleotides) under soil metagenome. RNAcentral's name for it is "partial contains 5.8S ribosomal RNA, internal transcribed spacer 2, and large subunit ribosomal RNA". The stretch from base 1 to 120 matches the Rfam family "5.8S ribosomal RNA", at positions 35 to 154 of the family's 154-position model. The record is from RNAcentral.